AGGGGACGUUGGUGAAGCCUCAGUGGGCCCACCAGUACGCCUGCUUGAGGGGGCGUGGCCUGGGCGUGAACAACGCGCUAGUGGGCGUGGCCUGGGUGCUUGGAGCAUUUGCUUUAGGAAGUGGCCACCCAAAACCACAAUGAGGAAGCAGGAGGAGUACCGGAGCCAAAACUGGUACCAGGCACUCUGAUAUGGGAGGCAGGUGUCCCAAGCAGUGACUCAACAUCAUGCUCUGAUGCAGCUGCUUCUGAAACACAGAGAUGAGCCACCUUCAGGUUUGCUGUGAGGGAAUUGGUGUGAACCCCUGAUGAUAUUUUAUGGAGCUGACUUUUCUCCAGGAUCAAACAAGACUAUAACUUUGUUAACUGAUCACAGACUCACCUGGCAUAGGUAAGGCCCCGAAUGUCCCAGCCAACAGCACAGUGUGCUCAGGGUUUCUUCCCAGAGGAGUCUGCUCAGGAAUUAGAGUUUGGGUUCUAAGAAGUUAUUCAGAUUAAAAAAGAACAUUUUAAUUUUUCUCUUGGUGAUGUAUUGUGGACUCCUUAAGAGGAAUUAUGUUAGGGGUUUUUUUGAGUAUAGAUCUUCUUGCCUUUGUCAAUUAGUUUCUUUUUUUUCCAAAAUAAAAUAUUAUCAAUUCCCCCUUUACCUCCUCUCCUCCUCAGUCAUCAAGCAACAUCUUAUGACUCUUGCAUGGGACAAUUUGUCUGUCUUGUAAUGCAGACUUUUGUUUUGGAGCCAAGACAUUCUGAUUGUAUAGCGUUUGAGGGUCAGUAUGUUGGAACAAAGCAUCCUUUCUCCAUAGUCAGCAAGUAUCUGUGAAGUCUGAGUCUCAGUGAUGAGAACCUGAGGACCCAACAGCCUGGUGGCACACCAAGCAAGCAUGUGCAGGAGGCAGCCAUGGAAAGCCCUUCUCGCUUGUCCACAGAAUGUUUUUCUCAGCUCAGCCAAGUUAACAUCAGCAAGAGAUAUUUUUGAAGAAUCUUGUGGCCUUCAAAUUUUAGAACCACUUAGGGGUGAUUUCUUCCCCGUGCUAAUUCUACUUCAUCAGACUUCUGUUCUUUGAACUGUACACUUUGAAAUAAUUGAGUUUUCUGGGGCAUUUAAUUUUCUUUGUUAAGUGUUUCUCUUCACUGCAGUAAUUUUCUCAUCUGUUACAUACACACAUUUUAAAACAAGGAAUUCCUCAUUCUCCCAGACUCACUGCUGUAUUGUGGCUGCUCUCGGCAGGAUUACAUAAAAUGGAAUUAGGUACUCAGCCAAUCUUACUGUUAAUUGAGGGUGAUGUUAAGACUACUGGUUUCAUUCGAGCAGGAUCCCAGUGCAAGCCUGGUACAGCAACGCAAGAGGCUUACUUUAGACCCAAGGCUGAAACCAUGAUCCUGAAAAAUAAACAACAACAAAACUCUUGGGAGGUUGGUGAGAGAGGAAAGAGGCAAUUUCUCCCCAUUUCACACAUCCACUAUGUUCUCUGCUUGCAGCUUUCUCAAAUGCUGCCUGUCCUUGAUUUCCUUUCUUCUGCUCCUUUUUUUGUUUGUUUCUGAGAUUGAAAUACAGACUCCUUCUGCUUCCCAGGAUAUUUUUCUCAUUAAAUGUGUUGCACACUCCUAAGGAAUUAUUUUUUAAAAAUCCAGAGUGUAACAGAUCCUAUUGACCCCAGCACCUAUC
Non-coding RNA from Oryctolagus cuniculus (rabbit), 1665 nucleotides. Lineage: Eukaryota; Metazoa; Chordata; Mammalia; Lagomorpha; Leporidae. The record is from RefSeq and is a predicted model, not a curated record.